AGUAUAUAACCGGCCUUCAGACCUUGCCUCAACGCCGCAGUGUUUAUCCAGUUUGGAAUCCAGUUUCCCUUGUAAGCUCUGGAUGAGCUUAACCUGCCGAGCCUGCCCUUUGAGCCAAACCUGAAGACUCUUCUCUGGAUUCUCAUGCUGCUCUGGACUAAGAGCUGGAAACCCAAAGUCAAGGUCUGCCCUCACGCUAGAAGCAAGACGCUGAAGCGGUUACUGAACUCUGCUGAACUAAACAAUCUCUGGACCCAACAGUUCCUCUCUCAAAGCCAAACCCGGACUCCUCAAGACUCCAGUGAACCUGCCCCCAGGCCUGAACCAGUUCCUGUGUUAAUUCCAUGUG
Molecule: long non-coding RNA, 349 nt
Organism: Cyprinodon variegatus (sheepshead minnow)
Lineage: Eukaryota; Metazoa; Chordata; Actinopteri; Cyprinodontiformes; Cyprinodontidae
Exons: 3
Source: RefSeq, a predicted model, not a curated record